AUUGAACGCUGGCGGCAGGCUUAACACAUGCAAGUCGAGCGGAGUGAUGGUGCUUGCACUAUCACUUAGCGGCGGACGGGUGAGUAAUGCUUAGGAAUCUGCCUAUUAGUGGGGGACAACAUCUCGAAAGGGAUGCUAAUACCGCAUACGUCCUACGGGAGAAAGCAGGGGAUCACUUGUGACCUUGCGCUAAUAGAUGAGCCUAAGUCGGAUUAGCUAGUUGGUGGGGUAAAGGCCUACCAAGGCGACGAUCUGUAGCGGGUCUGAGAGGAUGACCCGCCACACUGGGACGGAGACACGGCCCAGACUCCAAGGGGGGGCAGAAGUGGGGAAUAUUGGAAAAGGGGGGAAACCCUGUUCCAGCCAUGCCGCGGGGGGGAAGAAGGCCUUAUGGUUGUAAAGCACUUUAGGCGGGGAGGAGGCUUUUUUGGUUAAUCCCCAAGAUGAGUGGACGUUACUCGAAGAAUAAGCACCGGCUAACUCUGUGCCAGCCGCCGCCGUAA
RNAcentral lists this ribosomal RNA (503 nucleotides) under uncultured bacterium. RNAcentral describes it as "partial 16S ribosomal RNA". It matches the Rfam family "Bacterial small subunit ribosomal RNA", at positions 30 to 523 of the family's 1533-position model. The record is from RNAcentral.